AUGACCGCAGUCAAGCAAAACUAUGGCGAGAAAGUCCUGGUCCAGUUUGAGGACUUUGCCAACCACAAUGCAUUCAAUUUGCUCGCAAAGUACAACAACAGCCAUCUUGUCAACAAUGAUAUCCAGGUGCUUCAUUCAUUCCAUACUAUUCCUCCCCAAGUCACCACAUGGUGA
RNAcentral lists this ribosomal RNA (174 nucleotides) under Triticum aestivum (bread wheat). Its description in RNAcentral is "partial small subunit ribosomal RNA". The record is from RNAcentral. Lineage: Eukaryota; Viridiplantae; Streptophyta; Magnoliopsida; Poales; Poaceae.